GAUGAACGCUAGCGGCAGGCCUAAUACACGCAAGACGAACGGUAAGUUGAGUAGCAAUACUUAGCCAAGAGUGUCGUACGGGUGCGUAACACGUAUGCAACCUACCCUAUACAGGAGGAUAGCCUAGGGAAACCUGGAUUAACCCUUCAUAGUAUUAUUGGAUGGCAUCAUUUGAUAAUUAAAACUGGGGUGGUAUAGGAUGGGCAUGCGUCUGAUUAGUUAGUUGGCGGGGUAAUGGCCCACCAAGACGAUGAUCAGUAGGGGUUCUGAGAGGAAGAUCCCCCACACUGGCACUGAGAUACGGGCCAGACUCCUACGGGAGGCAGCAGUAGGGAAUAUUGGUCAAUGGAUGCAAGUCUGAACCAGCCAUGCCGCGUGCAGGAAGAAGGCCUUCUGGGUUGUAAACUGCUUUUGCCAGGGGAUAAAAUUUCCAUGCGUGGAAAACUGAAGGUACCUGGUGAAUAAGCCACGGCUAACUACGUGCCAGCAGCCGCGGUAAU
Molecule: ribosomal RNA, 500 nt
Filed under: uncultured bacterium
Lineage: Bacteria
Description: bacterial SSU rRNA
Rfam family: Bacterial small subunit ribosomal RNA
Source: RNAcentral